AUACGUAUAAUCCUAUAGAAUUAAAAAAUAAUUUAUAUUAUUAUGCUUGUUUAGUACUUAGCAACAGAUGAGUACUUAGCAAUAGUAUUAAAGUAAGUAUAUAUCUGCGUAUACCUGCAUGCCCUUAUAGAAUUUUACGCGGGCUUUUACUGUAGUUGUGGACCUGGUGCCAAACUGAAUAUCAUCUUUUAAUAAUUAAUCAAAAUGUUCCAACUUUCAACUUAAUGAUUUGGUCGAUUUUCAAAGACCAUGCAUGAUUGGGGCUGAGCCUCCUUAACAAAACAGAACAACUAUGGCUGACUAUUACUGUAGUUUUAUCG
This is a non-coding RNA of Paramuricea clavata, 320 nucleotides long. The record is from the annotation of a GenBank genome assembly. NCBI's taxonomy places the organism in Eukaryota, Metazoa, Cnidaria, Anthozoa, Malacalcyonacea, Plexauridae.